This 164-nucleotide ribosomal RNA is filed under the name uncultured bacterium. RNAcentral describes it as "partial 16S rRNA". It matches the Rfam family "Bacterial small subunit ribosomal RNA", at positions 355 to 511 of the family's 1533-position model. The record is from RNAcentral.
UAGGGAAUCUUCGGCAAUGGGGGCAACCCUGACCGAGCAAGCCGCGUGAGUGAAGAAGGUUUUCGGAUCGUAAAGCUCUGUUGUAAGAGAAGAACGUGUGUGAGAGUGGAAAGUUCACACACUGACGGUAACUUACCAGAAAGGGACGGCUAACUACGUGUCAG